AACCUACUCCUGCGGCUCUGAUUACAAUAUUUACGCAAGUGUACCUCAAAGCUCAAUACGGACAUUACAUUUUAGCUUCCGGUCUUCCACCGAUAUGGAACACAAGACUCCGUAGUAUUUAUGUAACUUUGUUAACAGCGGCACAUUGCUGAAAUGCUCACGUGGGUGAUGACGCACAUCGCUGCCAAAAUAAUUUUAGUUCGAUUGGAAUGUGCUGUCGAAUUCGAAUCCACUCCCUGUCAAUUUAUAUUUGUAAAUCUAUAUUUUUCGUUUUCUGUUAAAAAUAUAAAUUUAUUCAACACAUUGCCAAAUGCAUUGUUAUCCUAAACUAAGUGGAGAUUUUUCCUUCUUG
Daphnia pulicaria is the source of this 352-nucleotide long non-coding RNA. RefSeq lists it as uncharacterized. The transcript is spliced from 2 exons. NCBI's taxonomy places the organism in Eukaryota, Metazoa, Arthropoda, Branchiopoda, Diplostraca, Daphniidae. The record is from RefSeq and is a predicted model, not a curated record.